GGAUAUGGUGUAAAUUAGGUUUCAGGUGAAGACACCUGGGUGUGGCUAAAGGACAAGAAGACCCCGUUGAGCUUUAGUUUGAUGUCGCAUUUGGGCGGGAGUGAGCUUUGGCUGGGGCGGCAAAUGUCCAUCUAGAGCGACUAAAGGUUGUGAGGCAUUUUGUCGAGUGGGGAGAUUGUGUGAACAAAGAAAGCUACCACGGGGGUAACAGGCUAAUCCAUUUGGAGAGUACACAUUGAUGAAUGGGUUUGGCACCUCGAUGUUGGCUCAGGGUUUCCCACAGGCGCAGGUGUUUGUGAAGGUAGGUAUGUUCGCCCUUUAAUGCCCU
This 328-nucleotide ribosomal RNA is filed under the name Notomastus sp. 367 PB. RNAcentral describes it as "partial 16S ribosomal RNA". It matches the Rfam family "Bacterial large subunit ribosomal RNA", at positions 2029 to 2597 of the family's 2925-position model. Lineage: Eukaryota; Metazoa; Annelida; Polychaeta; Capitellidae. The record is from RNAcentral.